This 63-nucleotide transfer RNA is filed under the name Phrynosoma platyrhinos (Desert horned lizard). Its description in RNAcentral is "tRNA-OTHER". Lineage: Eukaryota; Metazoa; Chordata; Lepidosauria; Squamata; Phrynosomatidae. The record is from RNAcentral.
GGCAGUGCAGUGGUCUGAACGCUGGACUACAACUCCAGAGACAAGGGUUCAAUUCCCACUCCA